ACCGGGCCCACGGGUGAGUAACGCGUAUGCACCCCUGCCUCCAACAGGGGAAUAACCCGUUGAAAGACGGACUAAUACCCCAUAACACAGGGAUCCCGCAUGGGAAUAUUUGUUAAAGAUUUAUCGGUUGUAGAUGGGCAUGCGUUCCAUUAGCUGGUUGGUGAGGUAACGGCUCACCAAGGCAACGAUGGAUAGGGGAACUGAGAGGUUUAUCCCCCACACUGGUACUGAGACACGGACCAGACUCCUACGGGAGGCAGCAGUGAGGAAUAUUGGUCAAUGGACGCAAGUCUGAACCAGCCACGUCGCGUGAAGGAAGACGGCCCUACGGGUUGUAAACUUCUUUUGUAAGGGAAUAAAGUGCAGUACGUGUACUGUUUUGCAUGUACCUUACGAAUAAGGAUCGGCUAACUCCGUGCCAGCAGCCGCGGUAAUACGGAGGAUCCGAGCGUUAUCCGGAUUUAUUGGGUUUAAAGGGUGCGCAGGCGGGAGAUUAAGUCGGCGGUGAAAUUUUGCAGCUCAACUGUAAAAGUGCCUUCGAAACUGGUUUUCUUGAGUGUGGAUGAAGUAGGCGGAAUUUGUGGUGUAGCGGUGAAAUGCAUAGAUAUCACGAGGAACUCCGAUUGCGCAGGCAGCUUACUAAACCAUAACUGACGCUCAGGCACGAAGGCGUGGGGAUCAAACA
RNAcentral lists this ribosomal RNA (685 nucleotides) under bacterium enrichment culture clone B3-31. Its description in RNAcentral is "bacterial SSU rRNA". It matches the Rfam family "Bacterial small subunit ribosomal RNA", at positions 93 to 774 of the family's 1533-position model. The record is from RNAcentral.